AUGCCAUCCUUGUCACAGAGGACCCCUCCCUUCCAGUCUUGUCCCCACCAGGUGCAACCCAUGUCAAACAUCAUCUCCAUCACAGGGGACCCCCUUUGCCCUGUCCCUGCCAUGAGGGAUCCCACUUUGUACGCCUUCCCCACUUCUGGGGACCCCCUUUGCCCUUUCCCUGCUGGGGGAGGACCCCACUUCAAUGCCAUCCUGGUCACUAUGGACCCCUUUGACUUGUCUCUAGCAGAUGGGGACCCCCAUCUAAAUGUCUUCCAGGUCACCAGGGACCCCCUCACCUUAUCCCUGCUGAGGCUGACCCCCUCAAACCCCAUUGUCACCCCUCAAACCCCAUCUCAGUCACAAGGGACCCCCCCCUUGCCUUAUCCCCAUGGCAGGGAGACCCCACCUAGACACCGUCCCUGUCAUAGGGGACCCCUCACCCUGUCCCCACUGGGGAACCCCACACCCCCUGCAGGACCUCCCGCCCCACACCCUGUCUUUGAGUCCACAGGAGCUCUGUGGGCCGGGGGCCCUCCCCCCAGGCCCCCCUCCCCCCCGGUGCCGACCCUGCGGAGGUGCUGUCAAUGCCCCAUGGCAGCAGGGAAGUCUCCGAGGCCCUGCACACCAAAGCCAAGCAAAUCCUGCUGGCAGACCUCGCCCCACUGCCUCCGCAGCGACGGUGUUGGUUUGGUGCCAUGCCGUGCUGGCUUGGAGCAGGGCAGAGACUGGACCUCCCUGGUGCCCCACAUGGGGCCAGGCUGGGGAGGUGUGCAUUUCCCGUGCUGGCACUCACCUGCACCCCACAUCCCACGCAGAGACCCGGGCCCCACCAGCGUCUGCCUCUGCUAAGUGUCGUCCACGGAGGCAAUGCAAAAACCCCCAUGGCACUUCUGCUUUUGGCUCUUCCCACCCUCCUCUCUGUUUGCCGGCACGCCUGGUGGGGCAUGUCCUUCCUCUUCUACUGCCUAGCUCUGGCGGUGGCAAGGACCCGCAGCCCGUCCGUCCCCAGCACCUUCCCCACGUCCUGGCAAAGGAGGGCCCGCGCCUUACCUGUGCAGAUGUGCUGGCGCACAGCUGGACCUCGGCACCCAUCUCCCCCUUGCAGCGGGAGCCGGGGUUGUGAACAGAUGGGCAGCGGCACGAGGCGCCAUGGCUGCUGCACUGUAACAUUGCACCCCCUGCUCCCUGGCACCCAGUGCCAUGCGCACCCCCUUCCCCGCAUGCGCCGGGCGGCCAGCACGCACCCUUGCCGGGGCGGCUCACCCACGGGUCGGCGCGGGUGUGCGCUGGGCGAGCUGCGCGGGGGGAAGCCGGCCCACGCGGCCGUGGCUCGGUCGCGGUGCUGGCCCGGGCGCUGCUGUGGGUGCAGCAUGUGGGGCUCCUGGUAGCCGGGGAAGAAUGGACCCCCUCCGGAGAGCGGGCUGGCUUUUAACCCCAUCCUGCCCACGUGGCCUCAACCACAGGAAGAGCCGUAGCUGUUCAGGAGAUAAACUGUGUAGCUGUCCCACCCAGUGACACCCCAGCAGUCUGACCGCAGUGUGUUCAAAACCGACAACACAGAGAUGCUGCUGCCGCUGCAGAAAGGCUCACAGGAAGCAAGAAACGCUGUUGCAGAACAAGCCAGUUACGCUCUUCUGAG
This 1630-nucleotide long non-coding RNA is filed under the name Struthio camelus australis. RNAcentral's name for it is "lncRNA (ENSSCUG00000011246.1)". The record is from RNAcentral. Lineage: Eukaryota; Metazoa; Chordata; Aves; Struthioniformes; Struthionidae.